Molecule: ribosomal RNA, 396 nt
Filed under: uncultured bacterium
Lineage: Bacteria
Description: partial 16S ribosomal RNA
Rfam family: Bacterial small subunit ribosomal RNA
Source: RNAcentral
CCUACGGGAGGCAGCAGUGAGGAAUAUUGGUCAAUGGGCGGGAGCCGGAACAAGCCAAGUCGCGUGAGGGAAGAAGGUACUGCGUAUUGUAAACCUCUUAUGCCAGGGGACAAAGGCGGCCACGGGUGGCCGUACGAGGGUACCUGGAGAAAAAGCAUCGGCUAACUCGGUGCCAGCAGCCGGGGUAAUACGGGGGAUGAGAGCGUUAUCCGGAUUGAUUGGGUUGAAGGGGUGCGCAGGCGGCGUGUCCAGGCAGCGGUAGAAUGACGGUGCUGAACCCCGGCCGGCCGUUGAAACUGGCGGGCUCGAGUUUGAGAGAAGUAGGCAGAAUUCGUGGUGUAGCGGUGAAAUGCAUAGAUAUCACGAAGAAUCCCGAUUGCGAAGGCAGCAUACCGG